RNAcentral lists this ribosomal RNA (506 nucleotides) under bacterium W3(2005). RNAcentral describes it as "partial 16S ribosomal RNA". It matches the Rfam family "Bacterial small subunit ribosomal RNA", at positions 92 to 587 of the family's 1533-position model. The record is from RNAcentral.
UCAGCGGCGGACGGGUGAGUAACACGUGGGUAACCUGCCUGUAAGACUGGGAUAACUCCGGGAAACCGGGGCUAAUACCGGAUGCUUGAUUGAACCGCAUGGUUCAAUUAUAAAAGGGGGGUUUUAACUUCCACUUUCAGAUGGACCCCCGGGGCAUUAACUUGUUGGGGAGGGAACGGGUUACCAAAGGGACAAUGCGUAACCACCUGAGAGGGGGAUUGGGCACACUGGGACUGAGAAACGGGCCAAACUUCUACGGGAGGGAGCAGUAGGGAAUUUUUCCCAAUGGACGAAAGUUUUACCGAGCAACCCCCCGUGAGUGAUGAAAGGUUUGGGAUCGUAAAACUUUUUUGUUAGGGAAAAACAAGUACCGUUCGAAUAGGGGGGGCCCUUUACAGGCCUUACCAAAAAGCCCGGGUUACUUCUUGCCAAGCCCCGGUAAUACGUAGGUGGCAAGCGUUGUCCGGAAUUAUUGGGCGUAAAGCGCGCGCAGGCGUUUCUUAAAU